RNAcentral lists this ribosomal RNA (295 nucleotides) under uncultured bacterium. Its description in RNAcentral is "partial 16S ribosomal RNA". It matches the Rfam family "Bacterial small subunit ribosomal RNA", at positions 336 to 647 of the family's 1533-position model. The record is from RNAcentral.
UUCCUACGGGAGGCAGCAGUGGGGAAUAUUGCACAAUGGGGGGAACCCUGAUGCAGCGACGCCGCGUGGGUGAAGGAGUGCUUCGGCAUGUAAAGCCCUAUCGGCAGGGAAGAAGCAAGACGGUACCUGACUAAGAAGCCCCGGCUAACUACGUGCCAGCAGCCGCGGUAAUACGUAGGGGGCGAGCGUUAUCCGGAUUCACUGGGUGUAAAGGGAGCGUAGACGGCCAUGCAAGCCCGGGGGGAAAGCCCGGGGCCCAAACCCGGGACCGCCCUUGGGACUGGAUGGCUGGAGU